GACGAACGCUGUCGGCGUGCUUAACACAUGCAAGUCGAACGGAAAGGCCCUGCUUUUGUGGGGUGCUCGAGUGGCGAACGGGUGAGUAACACGUGAGUAACCUGCCCUUGACUUUGGGAUAACUUCAGGAAACUGGGGCUAAUACCGGAUAGGAGCUCCUGCUGCAUGGUGGGGGUUGGAAAGUUUCGGCGGUUGGGGAUGGACUCGCGGCUUAUCAGCUUGUUGGUGGGGUAGUGGCUUACCAAGGCUUUGACGGGUAGCCGGCCUGAGAGGGUGACCGGCCACAGUGGGACUGAGAUACGGCCCAGACUCCUACGGGAGGCAGCAGUGGGGAAUAUUGCACAAUGGGCGGAAGCCUGAUGCAGCAACGCCGCGUGCGGGAUGACGGCCUUCGGGUUGUAAACCGCUUUCGCCUGUGACGAAGCGUGAGUGACGGUAAUGGGUAAAGAAGCACCGGCUAACUACGUG
Molecule: ribosomal RNA, 468 nt
Filed under: uncultured bacterium
Lineage: Bacteria
Description: partial 16S ribosomal RNA
Rfam family: Bacterial small subunit ribosomal RNA
Source: RNAcentral